Long non-coding RNA from Vespa crabro (European hornet), 608 nucleotides. RefSeq lists it as uncharacterized. The record is from RefSeq and is a predicted model, not a curated record. The transcript is spliced from 5 exons. NCBI's taxonomy places the organism in Eukaryota, Metazoa, Arthropoda, Insecta, Hymenoptera, Vespidae.
AUAGUUCACAUUUCUCAACAAUAAUAUCUUUUAAAUAAAAUCUUUUGAUAAAACAACUUUUAUUUUAACCUACGAUAUAUAGAAGAGACAUAUUCAGAUUGAAGUUUACAAAUGGUAUUUAGAUUAUAUUUUUAUUAAAGUACGCGUAAAAAAAAAUUAUUUUGAAUUUCCAAUAAAAAACGAAUAGCGCAUGACAUUUGAUAAGAUAUAUGUUAUUAUCGUGCCGUUUGAAUUCACGAAAUAGAUAUUUGCGCGUAUAUAAGACCGUGGAAAUGUAGUAGCCACAAGAAAUUAUUUUAUUUGAUACCAAAUAUACAGAAAAACUUCAUCAUGCGAAAUAUAUUCGUGAUUCUACUUCUUGCUGUAGUCGGAAUUUUGACGUACUACGAAGUAGAUGGCUUUUAUAAAGGGCCGGUACCUUUUUUUUGUAAGGGAUCCAAGAAAUUUCCGAAACCAUUACUUUGUCGUUUUUAACUUAUCAUGGAUUUCGAAAAUAAAUAAAAUGACUGUUAUGAACUACGUAAAGAAUAUAUUAUUUAAAUCUUAUUAAUUGUUUCAAAAAGAAAUGAAAUUUUUUUUUUGUAAAAUAUAAGAUAAUUGAAUAAUUU